AUUGAACGCUGGCGGCAGGCCUAACACAUGCAAGUCGAACGAGUGGCGGACGGGUGUGUUAUGUCUGGGAAACUGCUCGAUGGAGGGGGAUAACUACUGGAAACGGUAGCUAAUACCGCACACUAACGGAUGCCCCCAGAUGGGAUUAGCUUGUAGGUGGGGUAAAGGCUCACCUAGGCGACGAUCCCUAGCUGGUCUGAGAGGAUGACCAGCCACACUGGAACUGAGACACGGUCCAGACUCCUACGGGAGGCAGCAGUGGGGAAUAUUGCACAAUGGGCGCAAGCCUGAUGCAGCCAUGCCGCGUGUAUGAAGAAGGCCUUCGGGUUGUAAAGUACUUUCAGCGGGGAGGCGUUACCCGCAGAAGAAGCACCGGCUAACUCCGUGCCAGCCGCCGCGGUAAUUC
This 406-nucleotide ribosomal RNA is filed under the name uncultured bacterium. RNAcentral's name for it is "partial 16S ribosomal RNA". It matches the Rfam family "Bacterial small subunit ribosomal RNA", at positions 30 to 526 of the family's 1533-position model. The record is from RNAcentral.